This 497-nucleotide ribosomal RNA is filed under the name uncultured bacterium. RNAcentral describes it as "partial 16S ribosomal RNA". It matches the Rfam family "Bacterial small subunit ribosomal RNA", at positions 28 to 507 of the family's 1533-position model. The record is from RNAcentral.
GAUGAACGCUGGCGGCGUGCCUAACACAUGCAAGUCGAGCGAACAGACGAGAAGCUUGCUUCUCGGAGGUUAGCGGCGGACGGGUGAGUAACACGUGGAUAAUCUCCUUCUAACACUUGGAUAACUACGGCAAAAAGGAGCUACUACUGCAUAAUAUUUUGAACCUCAUGGUUCAAAAGUGUAAGACGGUCUUGCUGUCACUUAUAGAUGGAUCCGCGCCGUAUUAGCUAGUUGGUAAGGUAACGGCUUACCAAGGCAGCGAGGCAUAGCCGGCCUGAGAGGGUGGGUGGCCACACUGGAACGGAGUCACAGUCCGGACUGCUACGUGAGGGAGGAGUAGGGGAUCUUCCGCGAUGGGCGGACGCCUGACGGAGCAACGCCGGGUGAGUGAUGAAGGUCGUCGGAUGGUAAAACACUGUUAUUAGGGAAGAACGUAUGUGUGAGUAACUGGUCAGUUCGUGACGGGACCUAAGAAGAGAGGCACGGCUAACUUCGGG